Molecule: ribosomal RNA, 492 nt
Filed under: uncultured bacterium
Lineage: Bacteria
Description: partial 16S ribosomal RNA
Rfam family: Bacterial small subunit ribosomal RNA
Source: RNAcentral
AUUGAACGCUGGCGGCAUGCUUUACACAUGCAAGUCGAACGGUAACAGGCCUUCGGGUGCUGACGAGUGGCGAACGGGUGAGUAAUGCAUCGGAACGUGCCCAGAGGUGGGGGAUAACGCAGCGAAAGCUGUGCUAAUACCGCAUGUGAUCUGAGGAUGAAAGCGGGGGACCAAGCAGCAAUGUUUGGCCUCGCGCCUCUGGAGCGGCCGAUGUCAGAUUAGGUAGUUGGUGGGGUAAAGGCCUACCAAGCCGACGAUCUGUAGCUGGUCUGAGAGGACGACCAGCCACACUGGGACUGAGACACGGCCCAGACUCCUACGGGAGGCAGCAGUGGGGAAUUUUGGACAAUGGGCGAAAGCCUGAUCCAGCAAUGCCGCGUGCGGGAAGAAGGCCUUCGGGUUGUAAACCGCUUUUGUACGGAACGAAAAGGCUCUGGCUAAUACCUGGGGCUGAUGACGGUACCGUAAGAAUAAGCACCGGCUAACUACGUG